ACGUACACUCCUACGGGAGGCAGCAGUGGGGAAUAUUGGACAAUGGGCGCAAGCCUGAUCCAGCCAUGCCGCGUGAGUGAUGAAGGCCCUAGGGUUGUAAAGCUCUUUCACCGGUGAAGAUAAUGACGGUAACCGGAGAAGAAGCCCCGGCUAACUUCGUGCCAGCAGCCGCGGUAAUACGAAGGGGGCUAGCGUUGUUCGGAUUUACUGGGCGUAAAGCGCACGUAGGCGGACUAUUAAGUCAGGGGUGAAAUCCCGGGGCUCAACCCCGGAACUGCCUUUGAUACUGGUAGUCUUGAGUUCGAGAGAGGUGAGUGGAAUUCCGAGUGUAGAGGUGAAAUUCGUAGAUAUUCGGAGGAACACCAGUGGCGAAGGCGGCUCACUGGCUCGAUACUGACGCUGAGGUGCGAAAGCGUGGGGAGCAAACAGGAUUAGAUACCCAGUAGUCCCAU
This 452-nucleotide ribosomal RNA is filed under the name uncultured organism. RNAcentral's name for it is "partial 16S ribosomal RNA". It matches the Rfam family "Bacterial small subunit ribosomal RNA", at positions 329 to 798 of the family's 1533-position model. The record is from RNAcentral.